This 253-nucleotide ribosomal RNA is filed under the name uncultured bacterium. Its description in RNAcentral is "partial 16S ribosomal RNA". It matches the Rfam family "Bacterial small subunit ribosomal RNA", at positions 524 to 776 of the family's 1533-position model. The record is from RNAcentral.
UACGUAGGGGUCGAGCGUUAAUCGGAAUUACUGGGCGUAAAGCGUGCGCAGGCGGUUUUGUAAGCCAGAUGUGAAAUCCCCGGGCUCAACCUGGGAAUGGCAUUUGGGACUGCAAGGCUGGAGUACGGCAGAGGAGACUGGAAUUCCUGGUGUAGCAGUGAAAUGCGUAGAUAUCAGGAGGAAUACCGAUGGCGAAGGCAGGUCUCUGGGCUGAUACUGACGCUCAUGCACGAAAGCGUGGGGAGCAAACAGG